This 267-nucleotide long non-coding RNA is filed under the name Gorilla gorilla gorilla (western lowland gorilla). Its description in RNAcentral is "lncRNA (ENSGGOG00000044425.1)". Lineage: Eukaryota; Metazoa; Chordata; Mammalia; Primates; Hominidae. The record is from RNAcentral.
GUUACGGGGCGCUGGUGGGACAAACGCAGCCAGACGCCGGACUUGUUGGGUGGCGUUAAAAAGGCUCCCAGAAUGGGGACCAGAGAUGGGAAGAACAUAGGAGACGUACACAAGACCAUCCAGUUGAAAUAAUGCUGUUUCCAACUGAGAAAAAGAAGCCCGUUUAUUCCUAAUAGGGGGCAUCAGGUAGGAAUCAAACUUCAUUGCAAACAGCUCACCAUCCUAUUGGGAGAUGAAUGAAUGUUUCUCUGUUUUGCUUUUUCCUCA